CAGGCAGGGGCCAUCCUCUGCCUCCGGGGCCAGUGGCAGUUCGAGGCCGCCGCCCGCUGCCUGCCGGCGGCCCCCUGCACCUCGGCCCCGCCGAUCGCUGGGGGCGACGCCUCGGGCUGCGCGG
RNAcentral lists this non-coding RNA (124 nucleotides) under Lingulaulax polyedra. The record is from RNAcentral. Lineage: Eukaryota; Dinophyceae; Gonyaulacales; Lingulodiniaceae.